CCUACGGGAGGCUGCAGUGGGGAAUAUUGGACAAUGGGGGCAACCCUGAUCCAGCCAUGCCGCGUGUGUGAAGAAGGCCCUCGGGUUGUAAAGCACUUUCAGUGAGGAAGAACGCCUGGUGGUUAAUACCCAUCAGGAAGGACAUCACUCACAGAGGAAGCACCGGCUAACUCCGUGCCAGCAGCCGCGGUAAUACGGAGGGUGCGAGCGUUAAUCGGAAUUACUGGGCGUAAAGCGCGCGUAGGUGGCUUGAUAAGCCGGUUGUGAAAGCCCCGGGCUCAACCUGGGAACGGCAUCCGGAACUGUCAAGCUAGAGUGCAGGAGAGGAAGGUAGAAUUCCCGGUGUAGCGGUGAAAUGCGUAGAGAUCGGGAGGAAUACCAGUGGCGAAGGCGGCCUUCUGGACUGACACUGACACUGAGGUGCGAAAGCGUGGGUAGCAAACAGGAUUAGAUACCCCAGUAGUC
RNAcentral lists this ribosomal RNA (465 nucleotides) under Vreelandella stevensii. RNAcentral's name for it is "partial 16S ribosomal RNA". It matches the Rfam family "Bacterial small subunit ribosomal RNA", at positions 338 to 795 of the family's 1533-position model. The record is from RNAcentral. Lineage: Bacteria; Pseudomonadati; Pseudomonadota; Gammaproteobacteria; Oceanospirillales; Halomonadaceae.